CUGACCCUUGUGGAGCCUUUGGGGCGUUACAUAACCUCUCUGAGCCUCAGUUUUCUCAUCUGCAAAACAGGGAGGAGAGCAAUGCCGAGCGAGGCUGCUGGGAAGACACGAUGUGGUGAUCUCCCCUCCUGCUCCUGAAACAACCCCAGUGUUCCCAAAAUACCAGCGAGGUCUGGGGAGUUGGAUGUGCUCCAGGCCUCAUAGACUGCCCAUUGUGACCAAAGGGGCUGGUUUCCUGAUGGACUGAGAAGCUUCUCCGUGGCCUUAUGCAACGUGCUUGGCUGAGGAGCCCCCAUUGUCCUUGGCUCCCAGCCACAGGAAAGGGCAUUAUUGCCCUGAUUUACUCGGAAACAUUAGACACAUCAUCCAGGCUUAGCUUCAGCAUCGUGUAACUUCAGAUUACCUGGGCAACUUAUUAAUCAUGUCUGGUUCGGACUGAACUCACGGCCAACAGUGACCCACCUUAUGCUGGAAGAAGCUCAUGAGACACCAGCAUUUUCCCCAUAAGGCACAGCACAGCCUCUCCAGUUUAGAAACAUCAGCUAUCACUUCAGCACUAUGCCUGGGGCCAUUUUAAUCAGUAAAAUCAUGAAGAAAAAGCAAAAUCACAUGAAAACGUGGCACUCACUGGACUGCAGAUGGGACACUUGUUUUAGCAGGACAGGAUGAGAGCUGAAACAAGGAGGCUGGUAUUGCCUCGCUCCACCUCAGCUGGGAAGGUCGGCGUCUGCAGCGUGAGCGCUCCGCCCCGCUGCAUGCAACUGCGCACGACGGCGGAUGCACCGUGUUGCUUUGACGUACCAUCAGUUGCCCCACACACCUUUGACCAAAUAUGAGCCCAGCGUAUCUUGAUGGGCAAUAUCUAUGAUGCCGAAAGCCUGUAUUUGGGGGUUGCUUUGAAAGGUACACUGACAGGUGAGCCUAUCUCUAGGGGCUGUCCCUCCAGGGUCAGAAAAUCCCCAGAUGUCAAAGCCUCAGAAUACAGGGAGAAAAAGUCGUGAUUGAUAUAAAGAAGAAUGCCUACAAAUUAAUAAAAAAGAAAAACAACUCAGGAGGCAAAAGCCUCAAGUGGCACUUUGCAGAAGAGGAGACCCACGGGCCCUUAAGUACGUGGAAAGUGAACAUGAAUGUGAGGUGAGAUGAGGCGUGUCUUCCGCCCA
This is a long non-coding RNA of Nycticebus coucang (slow loris), 1160 nucleotides long. RefSeq lists it as uncharacterized. NCBI's taxonomy places the organism in Eukaryota, Metazoa, Chordata, Mammalia, Primates, Lorisidae. The transcript has 3 exons. The record is from RefSeq and is a predicted model, not a curated record.